This 549-nucleotide ribosomal RNA is filed under the name uncultured bacterium. RNAcentral's name for it is "bacterial SSU rRNA". It matches the Rfam family "Bacterial small subunit ribosomal RNA", at positions 356 to 896 of the family's 1533-position model. The record is from RNAcentral.
AGGGAAUCUUCCGCAAUGGGCGAAAGCCUGACGGAGCAACGCCGCGUGAGUGAAGAAGGUCUUCGGAUCGUAAAACUCUGUUAUUAGGGAAGAACAAAUGUGUAAGUAACUAUGCACGUCUUGACGGUACCUAAUCAGAAAGCCACGGCUAACUACGUGCCAGCAGCCGCGGUAAUACGUAGGUGGCAAGCGUUAUCCGGAAUUAUUGGGCGUAAAGCGCGCGUAGGCGGUUUUUUAAGUCUGAUGUGAAAGCCCACGGCUCAACCGUGGAGGGUCAUUGGAAACUGGAAAACUUGAGUGCAGAAGAGGAAAGUGGAAUUCCAUGUGUAGCGGUGAAAUGCGCAGAGAUAUGGAGGAACACCAGUGGCGAAGGCGACUUUCUGGUCUGUAACUGACGCUGAUGUGCGAAAGCGUGGGGAUCAAACAGGAUUAGAUACCCUGGUAGUCCACGCCGUAAACGAUGAGUGCUAAGUGUUAGGGGGGUUCCGCCCCUUAGUGCUGCAGCUAACGCAUUAAGCACUCCGCCUGGGGAGUACGACCGCAAGGUUG